CUUGUGGACAAUCUGGAAUAUUCAACGAUUGACUGUGUACGGCCAACACAUUUGCCGGAACCUCGCACACCACGCAUCUAUAUGAGACGAAAAAGAAAAUUUAAUCGAUCUUUUGUCCGAAUUUAUGAAAUUUAUUAAAUUUAUAUAAUUUAUAUUUAUAUCGUUUAUAACGACUGUUAUCCUCUCAAGUGGCGGAAGGAAUUAAAUUAUUAACAACAAGUAUACGUUAAAUGAACAAUUCGGUUUUCAAUCUAUUCUCGUAUAUAUUUUCACGGAUAUACGUUUGUAAACUUUACAACAAAGCGAAACAUUGCAUUCGUUGAAAUUGCAUCUAAUUUGCACGUUAGAAUAAAAUUUCGUUUCGAAAUUUAGUUUGGCAUAUAAUAAUUACUUCGAAUCGAAUGAUAAUAAGUUAAUUUAACAUUGGUAAGAUAAAUUAAAUAUGGAACACGCGUAUACACGGUUCUUACGAAUCGAUCAUCCUACGUUAAAAAAUAAUUAAAGACUUUUUUCUAACGUAAAAACAUACCUGGAGAUGUAUUGUUCUAUCUCCGAUUCCUGGACAGGCAUCAUGGGAAUUGGACUAGUGGUGGAUAACCAAUAAGAACGAUCGCCCCGGUUACCGUAGUGACAAACGUUGUUUAUAUCGCAAAAGAGGAACGGCAUCGUCGAGAACUUUCGUACGCACGAACCGGCAUAACCUGUUUCACGAUUAGAUAAGAUCAGAUAAGAGAAGAGAGGAGGAAGGGAACUCGUGGCGCGCGCAAGGAUCGGAAUAUUACGAAACGCGUGACGAUUUCGGAACUAGAUCGUAAGAUGGAAAAAAACUUAGGAUCUAGAUAUCUAGAUAAAUUUUGGACUUGCCUAAAUCUUGCGAGUGCGCCCUUUCAUCGCCAUCCGUGAACAGCAAACUGUAUCCUUCCCAAAGUUUGAUGUGCCCCGCGUCGCAAACAGGCA
This is a long non-coding RNA of Apis dorsata (giant honeybee), 957 nucleotides long. RefSeq lists it as uncharacterized. Lineage: Eukaryota; Metazoa; Arthropoda; Insecta; Hymenoptera; Apidae. The transcript is spliced from 2 exons. The record is from RefSeq and is a predicted model, not a curated record.